GAAUACACAGUAUAAGACUGGAGCAGGAACAGCUAGAGAAGUGGUGCUAUAGAACCUUGGCUCUAUGACUCAAAGUCUCUGUUCCCCUUACAGUUGUUUGCAAACCCCUGAAAACAGUUCAACAUUGAAAGUAUUGCUUCAGAAUAAUUACAUUUUAACUUUGCCUCCUUAUUUAGUGAUUUAUGAUUUCUUGAGAUAAGUAUAAAAAUCAGUCCAUGUUGUCUUAGGACGUGUAAAAAGUGGAAAAUAUGGCAAAUAAAAAGAAAAGAAAAUAAUUCAUAAUAGUCACAGAUGAGGUGAAAGGUGUGCUGGGAGUGAACCAAUCAAGAGCCGGGGAGCCCCCUGACCUCCACGUGACCUGUCCAUGUCUCCAGCGGGUUCUUCUGGGGUACUGCUGCCGGACUCAUGGGAGCUGUAAGCCCCACUAUUAUUGGGGAUGUUGAUACCCGACUGAGGCCUGGUUUCUGAUCCACCUCCACUACCCCCCACCGAUCUUGCCCUGGGGCCAACAUGCUGAGCCGCAGUCGAUGUGGCUCCCGAGGCCCAAUGAGCUGAGGCACCAUAUGCGUGGAAUCUCAUUGCCAUUGCUGCAGUUCUGCCAUUGCCGUUACUAGUGGAGGUGCUCGACGGCAGAUCCGAGCCCGAGUAAGCCCUGGUUCGACCAUUAGCAGCUGGGCUGCUCUGUUUUGCCCCCAUGUUUGCAGCCCUAUGCCAAUAUGUCCACAGAUUUCCUUUAUUUAUUUAAGACUGAUAACCGGUGUGGCAAUUGAGGUGGUUUUAUGGCAAUUAAAAUGAUUUUUAAAAUUACAAAAAUAGGUCCUUGCAAUAAGAUGGCAAAGAAAAACUACUUAUAGUUAUUUAAAUCCCAAUCAUCAUGUUAUGAAAGUACUAACAACAUAAAAGCGAACUAACAACAAUGUAAAAGAAGUUUAGUAGCGAAGACUGCCAGUGCACUCCAUGUGACAAAAAGAAAUUAAACUAAAUUAAAUAAAAAACUUUUUUAAAGUGCUCA
Long non-coding RNA from Anguilla anguilla (European eel), 1012 nucleotides. RefSeq lists it as uncharacterized. NCBI's taxonomy places the organism in Eukaryota, Metazoa, Chordata, Actinopteri, Anguilliformes, Anguillidae. The record is from RefSeq and is a predicted model, not a curated record. The transcript is spliced from 2 exons.